AUGCACACACACCCGACGCGCCCGACGCGUCCGAUGCGCACCCAUAACACGCACCGGCCUCGCACGGCUCGCCGCCGCGGCUUAUUGCCCACCACACGCGCCCUAAGCCGCGGCUCAGAGCAAGCCACCGUCCUCGACGCCGUCGUCCACCAGCAGGGUCCGCUCCGCCGCCGGCGCCUUCUUCGGCUACGGGCAGUCGCGCUUGAAAUGCCCGCGAUCGCCGCACUUGUAGCACCAUCCUCGCCGGUUGCCACCGAAGCCCGCAGCCUCGCUGCGUGCGUCGUCGUCGUCCCGCGCUCCGCCUUGACACCGCUCCCGCGCCCGCCACUGUGCCGCCGUGUACAGCAGCUCGCCAGCAGCUCGCCGUCAGUUCGCUCGUCGCCCACCUGUCCACGCCGACGCAGCCGCUCGUCGAACGCCUUCAGGCGCCCGAGCGCGUCCUCGAACAGAAGCAUUGACAGAUCGCAGAACUGUUCCAUCCCAGCAACCGCCGCGUAUAGGCGAUCUGGGACGCAGUCCAGCAGCUUCUUCACCAUCGCUGCGUCGUCAGGGGUCGAUCCCAGCCCCGCGUAG
This 573-nucleotide ribosomal RNA is filed under the name Triticum aestivum (bread wheat). RNAcentral describes it as "partial small subunit ribosomal RNA". The record is from RNAcentral. Lineage: Eukaryota; Viridiplantae; Streptophyta; Magnoliopsida; Poales; Poaceae.